UGGGGAAUAUUGGACAAUGGGGGCAACCCUGAUCCAGCAAUUCUGUGUGCACGAAGAAGGUUUUCGGAUUGUAAAGUGCUUUCAGCAGGGAAGAAGAAAGUGACGGUACCUGCAGAAGAAGCGACGGCUAAAUACGUGCCAGCAGCCGCGGUAAUACGUAUGUCGCAAGCGUUAUCCGGAAUUAUUGGGCAUAAAGGGCAUCUAGGCGGCCCUGUAAGUCUAGGGUGAAAACCUGCGGCUCAACCGCAGGCCCGCCCCGGAAACUACAGGGCUAGAGUAUCGGAGAGGUGGACGGAACUGCACGAGUAGAGGUGAAAUUCGUAGAUAUGUGCAGGAAUGCCGAUGAUGAAGAUAGUUCACUGGACGGUAACUGACGCUGAAGUGCGAAAGCUAGGGGAGCAAACAGGAUUAGAUACCCUGGUAGUCCUAGCUGUAAACGAUGAUUACUGGGUGUGGGCAUGAAGAGUGUCCGUGCCGAAGCAAAUGCGAUAAGUAAUCCGCCUGGGGAGUACGGUCGCAAGGCUG
This 525-nucleotide ribosomal RNA is filed under the name uncultured bacterium. RNAcentral describes it as "bacterial SSU rRNA". It matches the Rfam family "Bacterial small subunit ribosomal RNA", at positions 355 to 896 of the family's 1533-position model. The record is from RNAcentral.